This 975-nucleotide long non-coding RNA is filed under the name Nicotiana tabacum (common tobacco). Its description in RNAcentral is "long non-coding RNA (NTAB_LNC004582)". Lineage: Eukaryota; Viridiplantae; Streptophyta; Magnoliopsida; Solanales; Solanaceae. The record is from RNAcentral.
AAACCAAAACCUAAACCUACUCUCCCUCAGCCGCCACUCUCCCUCCCCACUUUCUUAUUUCUUUCUUUUGCCAUUAGUAGUCGGCAUUAAUUCAAGGCUAUGAGGAAGACAAAGAGGAUCAACAAGAGUGUAUCCUCAUUGCGAUCUCCAUUUAUGGACAAAAUUUUAACUUGUUGGUUCGUCUCUUCCCAGGUGAGAUCAUGUAUCUAUAUCAUAGUAUUUCUGAAUCUUCUUACGCCUACUUGAGUUUGAGUUUUUUAGUUCAAUUUUACGGGUUAUUCCAGCAAUUUGAUAGAUAUUACGCCUUAUUUUUUAUAAGUGGUGAGUGCAAUUUUAAAGAUUUGAUAGAUUUUGUGCCUUACACCUAAUUGACUUGGGUUUCUGCUUCAAUUGUUUGUUUUUGAUUUAUAGGUUGCUCAAGAGAAAAGUGUCUUUGAGAAAUUGUAUUCUCUUCUAAUGCCAAAUUGUAAGUUUUUCUUCCUUUUUUCCACCUUCUUAAGUUUUAUGAUGUUUAUUUAAAUGUUUUUUUUUCUUUUGUGUUGAAACAAGUUUAGAUCUUUUUUGCACCUGAUUCAUGGCUAAGUUUUUGCUUAUUCCAUGAUUCAUUGAAUUUUUAAUUAUUAACUGUAAAUGCAUCUAACUUGUAUAUGUUCUAAUAAUUCAAAUAUAAAUUUCUCAUAAGAUCAUUUUAUUUUAUAUUUCAGUCUAGUGAUUACGGAGAAUGCUUCAUAUAUUAUUGGAUGCAUAAAAAUCAAUGGUUGCGAUGAGGGUGGUAACAUAAAUCAUCAAGAUCAAACGGGGGUGACAACAUGAAUCAUCAAGCAAAUGUUUAUGUUCGUUUAACGUGGAAUGUCGUAUAUUAUUUUUUAUCUCUAUUGCCAUCAAGCCAUACCGGCUAGUUCUUUUCUUCAAAUUUUAUUUAUUUAUUGUAAAAGAGUUAUUCACUGCAGAUACUAUUAAUUGGUUAAUAUAAAU